GACGAACGCUGGCGGCGCGCUUAACACAUGCAAGUCGAGCGAAGCGGCGGACGGGUGAGUACCACGUGAGUAACCUGCCUUAGACCUUGGGAUAGCAUCGGGAAACCGGGAUUAAUACCAAAUGGUCUAAGAUGGACUCGCGUCCCAUUAGCUAGUUGGUGGGUAACGGCCCACCAAGGCGACGAUGGGUAGCCGGCAUGGGAGGGUGAGCGGCCACAUCGGAGCUGGGAAACGGUCCAAAAUAUACGGGAGGCAGCAGUGGGGGAUACUGCACAAUGGAGUGAACUCGGAUGGAGCGACGCUGCGUGAACAAAGAAGGCUUGCGAGACGUAAAGUUCUUUUAUAUGGGAAGCGGUACCAUAAGAAAAAGCCCCGGCUAACUACGUGCCAGCAGCCGCGGUAAUAC
This 406-nucleotide ribosomal RNA is filed under the name uncultured bacterium. RNAcentral's name for it is "partial 16S ribosomal RNA". It matches the Rfam family "Bacterial small subunit ribosomal RNA", at positions 28 to 526 of the family's 1533-position model. The record is from RNAcentral.